RNAcentral lists this ribosomal RNA (560 nucleotides) under Sympetrum janeae. RNAcentral describes it as "SSU rRNA". It matches the Rfam family "Eukaryotic small subunit ribosomal RNA", at positions 605 to 1138 of the family's 1831-position model. Lineage: Eukaryota; Metazoa; Arthropoda; Insecta; Odonata; Libellulidae. The record is from RNAcentral.
UAAAGUUGUUGCGGUUAAAAAGCUCGUAGUCGGAGGUGUGUCUCGGACGGUUGGUUCGCCGCUUGCCGGUGCUCAACUGGCCGGUCCGGACGUCCUGCCGGUGGGGCUGUAAAAGGCUCCGUUAUCCUUCUUUGGUCCUCUUCAUUGAGUGCCUUGGUGGGCCGGCACGUUUACUUUGAACAAAUUAGAGUGCUCAAAGCAGGCCGUUGGUCGCCUGAAUACUGUGUGCAUGGAAUAAUAGAAUAGGACCUCGGUUCCAUUUUGUUGGUUUUCAGAACUCGAGGUAAUGAUUAAUAGGGACGGACGGGGGCAUUCGUAUUGCGACGUUAGAGGUGAAAUUCUUGGAUCGUCGCAAGACGAACCGAUGCGAAAGCAUUUGCCAAGAACGUUUUCGUUGAUCAAGAACGAAAGUUAGAGGUUCGAAGGCGAUCAGAUACCGCCCUAGUUCUAACCAUAAACGAUGCCAGCUAGCCAUCCGCCGAAGUUCCUUAUAUGACUCGGCGGGCAGCUUCCGGGAAACCAAAGCUCUUGGGUUCCGGGGGAAGUAUGGUUGCAAAGCU